AUUGAACGCUGGCGGCAUGCCUUACACAUGCAAGUCGAACGGUAACAGGUCUUCGGAUGCUGACGAGUGGCGAACGGGUGAGUAAUACAUCGGAACGUGCCUAGUAGUGGGGGAUAACUACUCGAAAGAGUGGCUAAUACCGCAUGAGAUCUACGGAUGAAAGCAGGGGAUCGCAAAACCUUGUGCUACUAGAGCGGCCGACGGCAGAUUAGGUAGUUGGUGGGAUAAAAGCUUACCAAGCCGACGAUCUGUAGCUGGUCUGAGAGGACGAUCAGCCACACUGGGACUGACGCGCGGGGCAGAAUCCUACGGGAGGCAGCAGUGGGAAAUUUUGGAGAAUGCGCGGAAGCCUGAUCCAGCCAUGCCGCGUGAGUGAAGCAGUCAUUCGGGUUGGAAUGCUCUUUCGGCGGGGACGAAACGGUUCGUGCCAAAACCAAGGACUAAUGACGGUACCCGAAGAAGAAGCACCGGCUAACUACGUGCCAGCCGCCGCGGUAA
This 498-nucleotide ribosomal RNA is filed under the name uncultured bacterium. RNAcentral's name for it is "partial 16S ribosomal RNA". It matches the Rfam family "Bacterial small subunit ribosomal RNA", at positions 30 to 523 of the family's 1533-position model. The record is from RNAcentral.